This 620-nucleotide long non-coding RNA is filed under the name Nicotiana benthamiana. RNAcentral describes it as "long non-coding RNA (NBEN_LNC003983)". Lineage: Eukaryota; Viridiplantae; Streptophyta; Magnoliopsida; Solanales; Solanaceae. The record is from RNAcentral.
GCAACUUCUUCUUUCUUCUUCUUUUCGAGCACACGAUCAGUACCACUUUGGAUGGCCUGUGUGGUUUCUUUCAAUGCCAAAUAGCUCAAAAUUUUGUUGUAUCUCAAUCCUUCUUCGAUCAUGGAUCCCAUUUUUACUUCAUUGAAUGACUUUGCAACAGACAUCACCAGAUGACCAAAGUAGGUCGGCUCCAAUGUCUCCAAGAAGUAAUCUACCAUCUCGCUCUCUCUCAUCGGCGGAUCAACCCUUGCUGCUUGUUCCCUCCAACGGAAACCAAAUUCUCUAAAACUUUCUUAGGCUUCUUCUCCAACUUCAAUAAUGAAAAAUGACCGGGGACUAUCUCGAGGUUGUACUGGAAAUGGCUGAUGAAUGCUUGUGCCAAAUCAUCCCAUUUAUACCAUCGACCGGGGUCCUAUCUUGUGUACCACUCCAGUGCGGACCCAAUAAGACUUUGACCAAAAUAUGCUAUCAGCAAUUCAUCCUUUCCUCCAGCCCCUCUCAUUUUGCUGCAGAAACCUCGAAGGUGAGCCACCGGGUCUCCCUGUCCCUUGUACAAAUCAAACUUGGGCAUUUUAAACCCUGCGGGCAACUGGAUAUCAGGAAAAUGGAAAAAAUCUUUG